UAAUAACAGGCAUAUAAGUUAACAGAUUGGCAUAUACAUGGGGAGUAUAGAUAAAAUCCAUAAAAAUUUAGCAGCAGUACCACCAUUAGUUUACUGGAAAUAGUAGUUGAACAAAGAAACUGCUACCAAGGCCACCAGCCGGCCGCUGUGGCCGAGUAGUUCUAGGCGCUUCAGUCUGGAACCGCGCGCCGCUAUAGUCACAGGUUCGAAUCCUGCCUUGUGCAUGGAUGUGUGUGAUGUCCUUAGGUUAGUUAGGUUUAAGUAGUUCUAAGUCUAGGGGACUGAUGACCUUGGAUGUUAAGUCCCAUAGUGCUCAGAGCCAUUUGAACCAUUUGAACCAUUUUGAACCAAGGGCACCAAUUCAUGCGACUGGCUCCUUCAUGCUAAUUUCUCAAUGUAAUUAAGAAAGAUGAACAAUUCCUGAUCAAAAAGUGACGCCACUGGUGUGCAGAAACAUUUUAAAUGAAAAAAUCAUAAGUAUAGAUGAUAACUCUGUUAAAAAUUUUAGUCCAAAAGCGGAUAAGACCAUUCUCCAACAAGAAAAAGAAGCGACAUAAGAAAAUCUUCUACGUCACAUUGAUUGAAACUAAAAAGUUAUGAUUUUAUAUUCAGGUGAAUGAUAAGUAGUUACACUGUAACAGUCAUAGCUAGAGUUCAGAUUUUGCAUGUUUUGCAUAUCAUUUUUUUUACUGUACCUGGUGUUGUGUCUAUAGAAAUUAUGAUAUUGUGGAUGUACUGGGCUACUUUAAAUUCAAUUUUAAAAUGCAUAUAUUUACAUAUUUUGGCGUUUGAGCAUAUUAUUAUCAUAUUUAGAGAAAAUGGCCUUAAAGAUGCAUAUUUUUCACAUUUAGAAGUCAUAUUGAGAUUGAUUUAUUCCCUGACAACCCAAGAACCUCCCAGAAUUUUAGAACAAUAAAUUUCCAAAAUGAGAUACUACGGGAUGAGCCAUCAGAAUGAAAGCCUUUGAGGUAAACGUGGGUAGCUUACGGAAGGACAUAGUCCUGUUUUUCCACUUACUUAGUCUCUCGGAUAAGGAUGCUAACGACUUUUGAUGGUUCAUUGUUGCAAGAUGGAUUGUUAGAGGAAACAUGCUUCGGUAUUUGUUGCCCACAGUUAAUGUGUGAUCAGGUCGCUGCAGUGCGCCAACAUUGCCCUACUAGUUAUUGUUGGCAUUUCGGAAUAUGAAACAUUCUUGCAUGUGUUUCUGUGCUGUUUGCAUCAACUCUUUGCUACCAUCUUCAAAUUACGAAUAUGCCCAGACCAAAAAGCAAUAAUUUUGGGAAAUGGAUUGGAAGCGAUUGUGCUUUCACAAUGGACAGAAAAAUAAUAUUGUGCCAACUAUGUGAAAAAGAGGUGAGUUUAAUUUUGUUUUUCUCUUUUUCGAUAAUUUUUCCAAGAACUUGAAACAAUUAUUAAGUACGUUUGUAAAUUGAUGUGCAUAUUUCCUAUGUGCGAAUGGGAAGGAAAAGAAGAAACCUUUAGCAAUUACCUUUGGCGAUCUUGGAAAUGAAAAAAAGUGUUAAAUUUUGUGUGGGGAUCGAAGUUACAAUUUUUAUAAACUUAUUUGUAGUCUUCAUUCACUUUUUUGAGUGACCAUCUCGUGGGUACACACUGUUAUCUUAAAUUUUUGUACAAUUGUACGUACUUAUUGAUAUUCACUUCUCCGACACUUUAGGUGCGGGUUGAGAAAAAAUUUCAACAGCAUCUGCAUUAAAAGACAUCUCAGCACCAGAACAAUUUAACCAAGACAUGGUUAAAAACUUCACAGCAAUCACUGAUCUCAUCAUUUCGAAGAAUGUGGACGACAAAAAUGAGUUCAGUGAAGAUCCUUGCAAGGCUUUAAUAAAAGUAAACAUCUCCUUGAAUAAGUUGGAGAAUGAAGCAUUAAAGAUCUUCUUGAAAAAAUACACAGGAAAACAUAUUCAUCAUGAGUCAACGCUCAGAAAGGACUAUGUGGACCCAUUAUAUGAAAAGACAUUGGAGAAUGUUAUGACAGAAAUUGUCGAUUCUCCAGUCUGGCUGUCCGUUGGCGAAACUGGUCGGUAUAUGGUGCAGGUCAUAGUUGGAAAACUCUCUGCUGACAAGGCUGGAGGAGGACAUAUCAUAGUGUAGAUAGAAGUGGAACGAACCACACACGCCACGAUUGCACGCACAGUGCAGGAAGCAGUGUGCGUGUUAUGGAGAAGUGAGGACCAGAAACGUGGGGAGAACAAGGUUUUGGCCAUUGUGACGGAUAGUGCCGCAUAUAUGCUGAAGGCUGCAGAGUGCCUCGGGGUGUUUUACCCUAUUUCACCUCACGUGUCUGGCUCAUGGCAUCCAUCGAGUGGCUGAAGAGGUCAGAGCCGCAUUGCCAGAGAUUAACAGCGUUAUAUCUUCGGCAGAGAAGGUUUUCAUAAAGGCACCGAGUGAGAGCCUUCAAGACUGCUCACCGUGACUGUCCUCUGCCACCUGAACCAGCCUUGACGGGGUGGGGAACGUGGAUUUCAGCUGCAAAUUAUUAUGCAGACAACCUCAGAAAAGUUGAAGAGGUCCUAAAGGGCUUUGAAGAUAGCAAAAACUUAGCCAUUACAAAAUCCAAGUACGCCCUGAAGAGUUCUAGCGUGUUACACAGCCUAUCUUUCAUCCCAGCGCACUUUGGUGGCCUUCCAGACCUAACUGAGAAACAUGAGACUCGUAACGUGGAAGCUAUGAAGGCAGUGGCUCUCGUCGAAGGACUCAGGACACAGAGCAAGAGUUGGCCAGGUCCGAUCAGUGAGAGACUUAGAAGAAAAUUAGAUGCAGUUCUUCAUAGAAAUCCUGGUUGUCCUACGAUUCGGAAGAUCGCUCAGUUACUGGAAGGAAACAAACGCUCUGAGAAUUUAGAUGAUUUUACAUCGUCUGACGCCGCUGCUCUUAAAUUCUUAUGUGUAGUGUCAUGUGAUGUUGAACAAUAAUUUUCAAGACUGAAAAUGUUAUUAUCUGAACACAGGAAAAAUUUUCAUUUAGAGAAUAUG
Schistocerca serialis cubense is the source of this 2993-nucleotide long non-coding RNA. RefSeq lists it as uncharacterized. The record is from RefSeq and is a predicted model, not a curated record. NCBI's taxonomy places the organism in Eukaryota, Metazoa, Arthropoda, Insecta, Orthoptera, Acrididae. The transcript has 4 exons.